GCCUGAUGUGGGGCUUGAACCCAUAAACCGUGAGGUCAUGACCUGAGCUUAGUCACCUGAGCCACUCAGGCGCCCCAGGCAUAGCUGACUUUCAAUCCCUGUGGCCUUAGGCAAGGCAUUUCAUCUCCUGGCUUUACUUUCCUCAUAGUUACAGAGAGAUAUUAUCCAUCUCAAGGAUUUCUUCCUCCCCCACCCCCUUCUUUCUUUCCAGUCAGGGAGUGGAAUAAGUGCAGGGACCUGGUAGGGGACUUAGUACACACAAGUGAAACCAAAGGUAGUUUCCUUCCUUUCUUCCUUCCUCGUUUCUGCUCUUCUUUCAUUUUCUCUCUUUUUCUUUCAGUCUCCUUUGAUUGUAUACUUUUUCCCACCAGCCUUAAUAAUCACAGGAUCCAGAGGACUGAAUAAGUGUAGUAGCUGGUACGCACCAGAUUCUCUUCAGAAUAUGCGGUGCCCAGGAAUAGUUUGCCCUGACUGGGGAGCUUCUAAUUCCUUGUACUUUUUUUUUUUUUUGCAUGUUUAUUUUUUUCAUCAGACAAGGAGGACUUUGCAGUUGUUCUUGGGUUUCCCCCCGAUCGUGUCAUCGUUGGACCCUGAGGCAGCCAUUUCCUUCCCUUCUACAUGACUUCUGGGCUCUAUAUAAUUUCAUGCUUACUGUGGGUUUUUUCUCCUCCUUGUCUUUAGCUAGAGUUUUCUGUGAGCUCCUUGAGGAUAGGGAAUGGACAUCUGUGUAUUCCUGCAGCUUGGCCCACGGCCUGGAUGUGAUGUCCCAGAAGUCUGUGGGGGAGCAUGGAUCUGGAGAAGCCAUGUCUUCCCACCUUCACAUGGAAGCUUGAAGCUCCAUGGAGCCUACAAAACGGAUGUGAAGGAGAGUUCCAGCAGUCAUCCUAGGCCAUGAGGGGACCCUGAGGAUGGAAGCUACACGUUGGAGGCCACAAGAAAGUGUCUGAAUCAUUGACAGCUUAAAGGAACAGCCACACCACUUCUGAUCGUCCUUCGUCAGGCUCUCUUUAACAUUGGAGAAUAAUCCCCUGUGAGCUUAGGCCACUAUGAUGAAGUCAUCUGCUCCUGAUACUGAAUGCAGUUUCUAAAUGAGACCUAGUUCUCUCCCACCCCUUCCGCUUAACUUUAUAUUGUAGAUAUUUUCCCUGUGAGCACAUUGAAAAAUCUACUGUAUUCUUCCUCAUGAUUAAAUAUUCCUGCAUAAGGAUUUACUCAGUUCCUUAUUGA
Long non-coding RNA from Felis catus (domestic cat), 1227 nucleotides. RefSeq lists it as uncharacterized. NCBI's taxonomy places the organism in Eukaryota, Metazoa, Chordata, Mammalia, Carnivora, Felidae. The transcript is spliced from 2 exons. The record is from RefSeq and is a predicted model, not a curated record.